This 490-nucleotide ribosomal RNA is filed under the name uncultured bacterium. Its description in RNAcentral is "partial 16S ribosomal RNA". It matches the Rfam family "Bacterial small subunit ribosomal RNA", at positions 30 to 507 of the family's 1533-position model. The record is from RNAcentral.
AUUGAACGCUGGCGGCAGGCCUAACACAUGCAAGUCGAACGGUAACAGGAAACAGCUUGCUGUUUCGCUGACGAGUGGCGGACGGGUGAGUAAUGUCUGGGAAACUGCCUGAUGGAGGGGGAUAACUACUGGAAACGGUAGCUAAUACCGCAUAACGUCGCAAGACCAAAGAGGGGGACCUUCGGGCCUCUUGCCAUCGGCUGUGCCCAGAUGGGAUUAGCUAGUAGGUGGGGUAACGGCUCACCUAGGCGACGAACCCUAGCUGGUCUGAGAGGAUGACCAGCCACACUGGAACUGAGACACGGUCCAGACUCCUACGGGAGGCAGCAGUGGGGAAUAUUGCACAAUGGGCGCAAGCCUGAUGCAGCCAUGCCGCGUGUAUGAAGAAGGCCUUCGGGUUGUAAAGUACUUUCAGCGGGGAGGAAGGGAGUAAAGUUAAUACCUUUACUCAUUGACGUUACCCGCAGAAGAAGCACCGGCUAACUCCGUG